GAGUAAGAUUUGCAGAGUUCCUUUUACUUUUUGUUGUUAGGAGUUCAGUAAAGUGAUUAGAAUUUAAGAUAAUUAGAUGUUGAGGUUGAACGCUUUCUUAAUUGGUGGCUGUUUUACAGAAAAAAGUUUAAAGUUGAACUAAGAUUCUAUCUUGGACAACCAGCUAUCACAAGGCUCCGUAGGCUUGUCACCACUACUCAUGAAUUUUCCCACUAUUUUGCCACACAGGUGGGUGUGCUCUUUCAGCUGUUCUUGAGUAGCUCGUCUGGUUUCGGGAGACUUGGCUAUGGUUCUCUGUGUCAAGUUAUUUCUAGCUAGUACAUUAUGCAGAAGGUAAAAG
Molecule: long non-coding RNA, 340 nt
Filed under: Homo sapiens (human)
Lineage: Eukaryota; Metazoa; Chordata; Mammalia; Primates; Hominidae
Description: non-protein coding lnc-RYR2-10:2
Source: RNAcentral